This 2360-nucleotide long non-coding RNA is filed under the name Lactuca sativa (garden lettuce). RNAcentral describes it as "long non-coding RNA (LSAT_LNC009997)". The record is from RNAcentral. Lineage: Eukaryota; Viridiplantae; Streptophyta; Magnoliopsida; Asterales; Asteraceae.
GCUUGGGAUACAACAGCCACCACGUCAUUGCGUCCUUCUUGCCAUCUCAUGGUGUAUGAUGUGCACAAAUUAUACCUAUCUAGUUUUGAAUUUAUAACCUAACGAACUUAACUAGCUAGAAUGCACGUAGGCAGUGUACCUAGUCGAAUUAAAGAAUCGUCUAGGUAAGUUGGGUGUCGAUCACGGGGAACGGUAUUUAAUUAAUAAAAUAACUACUAAAAGCUAAACUAAGAAAGACAACAAAAAUGAGGGUUUUAUCUAAUUUUACAAGUUUAGAAAAACUUAAAUUAAAAUAGCAAACUAAUGACUAAAGUAAACAACUAGAAAGAUGAUUUCAAAUCAAGAAUAAUGGAUACUUUCGUUUAGCUUCGAACCCUUCCUGUUUCCUAUGGUUGAUUUCAAGACAAUGGAUUAAUUCUGCUAGCUACCAAAUAAUAGUUACUAGUCAUCAUGAUCAUACUAACUAGCAUAAGUCAAUUUAACAACUUUAAACCUAAUGAUCAUGCAAGUAAAGGAUACUAAAUUGAUUUUAAAGGUAAUUUGGACUUUGAAUGAUAUAAUCUACAGACUACUAUUCUUCUGUUAAGUCUAGUAAUUGAGAAAAUAUUAUGAUCAAAUACUGCUCUUUAACACAAUUAAGCAACUAACUUAUCACCUAUACUAGGAUAUGGUCAAUCUCUAGCUCUAGCAAUUUAAUGGUCAUAAACAACUAGGUAAACCAAGUUCAUGCAACUAACUGUAUUUUAACUACACAAAACUUGAGACAAGGCAAUAAAGAUAGAAACUUUAACAAUCUAGGUGUAGAUUUAUCAAACAAUAUUUAAAGCAAAAACCAGCUUCAUCAAUCCAUAAAACAAGAAACCAAAUAAUAGUUACUAGUCAUCAUGAUCAUACUUACAAUGGAUUAAUUAUGGGUUGGGUCCAAUGUACGGGCUAGACCCAAUAAUAUGUAUGGUAUAUGGUAUUUUGGGGAACUCACUAAGCUUUGUGCUUACAGUUAUGUGUUUAUGGUACUGCCUGUUGCAACGUGAAGGGUCUGGCGUGACUGUACAACAUCCCCUAGUGUUUUCCACAUUGGCUAUUAUGACAUUUACUAUGAUCAUAAAAUGAUUUAAUUACUAUAACUGGAUUUUGGGACAAAUCAAUUGGAUGGUUUAAAUGUUUUUAAAAUGAAACUUUUACUCAAAAAUUUUGGGAUCUUACACCUUACUUCACAAGCUUCACCAAAAUCAAGAAACCAAUCUCAAGAUCAAGCCACCAAGCUCUUUAUCAUGGGAAGGGGAUAUGGUUUCGAAAUGAAGAGAUAGAUGUUGAAGGAGGUGAACUAAUACAAGAAUUAUGGUGGUUGAAUAUGGGAUAAACCCUAAAAAUCAUGGGCUUGGGAUACAACAGCCACCACGUCAUUGCGUCCUUCUUGCCAUCUCAUGGUGUAUGAUGUGCACAAAUUAUACCUAUCUAGUUUUGAAUUUAUAACCUAACGAACUUAACUAGCUAGAAUGCACGUAGGCAGUGUACCUAGUCGAAUUAAAGAAUCGUCUAGGUAAGUUGGGUGUCGAUCACGGGGAACGGUAUUUAAUUAAUAAAAUAACUACUAAAAGCUAAACUAAGAAAGACAACUAAAAUGAGGGUUUUAUCUAAUUUUACAAGUUCAGAAAAACUUAAAUUGAAAUAACAAACUAAUGACUAAAGUAAACAACUAGAAACUAGAAAGACAAUUUCAAAUCAAGAAUAAUGGAUACUUUCGUUUAGCUUCGAACCCUUCCUGUUUCCUAUGGUUGAUUUCAAGACAAUGGAUUAAUUCUGCUAGCUACCAAAUAAUAGUUACUAGUCAUCAUGAUCAUACUAACUAGCAUAAGUCAAUUUAACAACUUUAAACCUAAUGAUCAUGCAAGUUAAGGACACUAAAUUGAUUUUAAAGGUAAUUUGGACUUUGAAUGAUAUAAUCUACAGACUACUAUUCUUCUGUUAAGUCUAGUAAUUGAGAAAAUAUUAUGAUCAAAUACUGCUCUUUAACACAAUUAAGCAACUAACUUAUCACCUAUACUAGGAUAUGGUCAAUCUCUAGCUCUAGCAAUUUAAUGGUCAUAAACAACUAGGUAAACCAAGUUCAUGCAACUAACUGUAUUUUAACUACGCAAAACUUGAGACAAUGCAUUAAAGAUAGAAACUUUAACAAUCUAGGUGUAGAUUUAUCAAACAAUAUUUAAAGCAAAAACCAGGUUCAUCAAUCCAUAAAACAAGAAACCAAAUAAUAGUUACUAGUCAUCAUGAUCAUACUUACAAUGGAUUAAUUAUGGGUUGGGUUCAAUCUACGGGAUAGACCCAAUAAUAUGUAUGGUAUAUGGUAUUUUAGGGAACUC